CCUACGGGUGGCAGCAGUGAGGAAUAUUGGUCAAUGGACGCAAGUCUGAACCAGCCAUGCCGCGUGCAGGAAGACGGCUCUAUGAGUUGUAAACUGCUUUUGUACGAGGGUAAACGCAGAUACGCGUCUCUGUCUGCAAGUCUCGUACGAAUACGGCUCGGCUAACUCCGUGCCAGCAGCCGCGGUAAUACGGAGGAUUCAAGCGUUAUCCGGAUUUAGUGGGUUUAAUGGGUGCGUAGGCGGUCGGAUAAGUUAGAGGUGAAAUCCCGAGGCUCAACUUCGGAAUUGCCUUUGAUACUGUGCGGCUAGAGAGCAGUUGCGGUAGGCGGAAUGUAUGGUGUAGCGGUGAAAUGCGUAGAGAUCAUACAGAACACCGAUUGCGAAGGCAGCUUACCAAGCUACUUCUGACGUUGAGGCACGAAAGCGUGGGGAGCAAACAGGAUUAGAUACCCCAGUAGUC
This 460-nucleotide ribosomal RNA is filed under the name uncultured bacterium. RNAcentral's name for it is "partial 16S ribosomal RNA". It matches the Rfam family "Bacterial small subunit ribosomal RNA", at positions 338 to 795 of the family's 1533-position model. The record is from RNAcentral.